RNAcentral lists this ribosomal RNA (459 nucleotides) under uncultured bacterium. Its description in RNAcentral is "partial 16S ribosomal RNA". It matches the Rfam family "Bacterial small subunit ribosomal RNA", at positions 339 to 795 of the family's 1533-position model. The record is from RNAcentral.
CUACGGGUCGCAGCAGUGAGGAAUAUUGGUCAAUGGGCGCAAGCCUGAACCAGCCAUCCCGCGUGAAGGAUGACUGCCCUAUGGGUUGUAAACUUCUUUUAUGUACCAAGAAUGUGUCCUACGUGUAGGAUUUUGACGGUAGUACAUGAAUAAGCAUCGGCUAACUCCGUGCCAGCAGCCGCGGUAAUACGGAGGAUGCGAGCGUUAUCCGGAUUCAUUGGGUUUAAAGGGUGCGUAGGCGGCUUUAUAAGUCAGUGGUGAAAUCCUGCGGCUCAACCGUAGAACUGCCAUUGAUACUGUAGAGCUUGAAUACAGAUGAAGUAGGCGGAAUGAGUAGUGUAGCGGUGAUAUGCUUAGAUAUUACUCAGAACACCGAUUGCGAAGGCAGCUUACUAAACUGAUAUUGACGCUGAUGCACGAAAGCGUGGGGAGCGAACAGGAUUAGAUACCCCCGUAGUC